This 447-nucleotide ribosomal RNA is filed under the name uncultured bacterium. Its description in RNAcentral is "partial 16S ribosomal RNA". It matches the Rfam family "Bacterial small subunit ribosomal RNA", at positions 29 to 523 of the family's 1533-position model. The record is from RNAcentral.
AGCGAACGCUGGCGGCAGGCUUAACACAUGCAAGUCGAACGGUCCUUCGGGAUAGUGGCGGACGGGUGAGUAACACGUGGGAGCGUACCCUUAGGUUCGGAACAACACAGGGAAACUUGUGCUAAUACCGGAUAAGCCCUUCGGGGGAAAGAUUUAUCGCCUUUGGAGCGGCCCGCGUCUGAUUAGCUUGUUGGUGGGGUAAUGGCUCACCAAGGCUACGAUCAGUAGCUGGUCUGAGAGGAUGGCCAGCCACACUGGGACUGAGACACGGCCCAGACUCCUACGGGAGGCAGCAGUGGGGAAUCUUGCGCAAUGGGCGAAAGCCUGACGCAGCCAUGCCGCGUGGAUGAUGAAGGUCUUAGGAUUGUAAAAUCCUUUCACCGGGGACGAUAAUGACGGUACCCGGAGAAGAAGCCCCGGCUAACUUCGUGCCAGCAGCCGCCGUAA